Molecule: ribosomal RNA, 492 nt
Filed under: uncultured bacterium
Lineage: Bacteria
Description: partial 16S ribosomal RNA
Rfam family: Bacterial small subunit ribosomal RNA
Source: RNAcentral
AGUGAACGCUGGCGGUAGGCCUAACACAUGCAAGUCGAACGGCAGCACAGUAAGAGCUUGCUCUUACGGGUGGCGAGUGGCGGACGGGUGAGGAAUACAUCGGAAUCUACUUUUUCGUGGGGGAUAACGUAGGGAAACUUACGAUAAUACCGCAUACGACCUACGGGUGAGAGCAGGGGAUCUUCGGACCUUGCGCGGCUCAAUGAGCCGAUGUCGGAUUAGCUAGUUGGCGGGGUAAAGGACCACCAAGGCAACGAUCCGAAGCUGACCUGAGAGGAUGAUCAGCCACACUGGAACUGAGACACGGUCCAGACUCCUACGGGAGGCAGCAGUGGGGAAUAUUGGACAAUGGGCGCAAGCCUGAUCCAGCCAUGCCGCGUGGGUGAAGAAGGCCUUCGGGUUGUAAAGCCCUGUUGUUGGGAAAGAAAAGCAGCAGGAUAAUACCCCGCUGUUCUGACGGUACCCAAAGAAUAAGCACCGGCUAACUUCGUG